AGUCACUGACAUUAGAUACCCGGGUAGUCCCAGCCGUAAACGAUGUGCGUUAGGUGUAUCGACGACCACGAGUUGUCGAGGUGCCGAAGGGAAACCGUGAAACGUACCGUCUGGGAAGUACGGUCGCAAGGCUGAAACUUAAAGGAAUUGGCGGGGGAGCACCACAACAGGUGGAGCCUGCGGUUUAAUUGGACUCAACGCCGGGAAUCUCACCGGAUAGGACAGCGGAAUGAUUGCCGGGCUGAAGACUCUGCAUGACUAGCUG
This 265-nucleotide ribosomal RNA is filed under the name uncultured archaeon. RNAcentral's name for it is "partial 16S ribosomal RNA". It matches the Rfam family "Archaeal small subunit ribosomal RNA", at positions 719 to 982 of the family's 1478-position model. The record is from RNAcentral.